RNAcentral lists this long non-coding RNA (244 nucleotides) under Elaeis guineensis (African oil palm). Its description in RNAcentral is "long non-coding RNA (EGUI_LNC048373)". Lineage: Eukaryota; Viridiplantae; Streptophyta; Magnoliopsida; Arecales; Arecaceae. The record is from RNAcentral.
CUGUUGGGAAAUGUGUCCCAAAAAGCCAAUCGUCAAGCUGUUGACGGUUGAGCAACCAAGUAUUGUAAUUGAUUUAUUAAUAAAUAAAAUAUAUUUGGCAUCUUCAUCAUAAGCUUUCAUCUUCUAAUAAACUCCGUUGUUAUGAUGAAGUCCUUAGGACUAUUUAAGUUCGAUAAAGAGAGAAUUUAUCGAUUAGUCCUUAAAACUGUUCACGACCAAAUGAUAAGCUGUUAAUAAGGACGAC